GAUGAAGAACGCAGCGAAACGCGAUAAGUAAUGUGAAUUGCAGAAUUCAGUGAAUCAUCGAAUCUUUGAACGCACAUUGCGCCCCUUGGUAUCCCGAGGGGCAUGCCUGUUCGAGCGUCAUUUCACCACUCAAGCCUGGCUUGGUGUUGGGCGACGUCCUCUUUGGGGACGCGCCUCGAAACGCUCGGCGGCGUGGCACCGGCUUUAAGCGUAGCAGAAUCUUUCGCUUUGGAAGUCGGGGCCCCGUCUGCCGGAAGACCUGCUCGCAAGGUUGACCUCGGAUCAGGCAGGGAUACCCGCUGAACUUAAGCAUAUCAAUAAGCGGAGGA
Molecule: unclassified non-coding RNA, 329 nt
Filed under: soil metagenome
Description: partial contains 5.8S ribosomal RNA, internal transcribed spacer 2, and large subunit ribosomal RNA
Rfam family: 5.8S ribosomal RNA (bases 1-120)
Source: RNAcentral